RNAcentral lists this ribosomal RNA (1101 nucleotides) under Triticum aestivum (bread wheat). RNAcentral's name for it is "partial small subunit ribosomal RNA". Lineage: Eukaryota; Viridiplantae; Streptophyta; Magnoliopsida; Poales; Poaceae. The record is from RNAcentral.
AUGGACUCCCUCCCGCCGCCCGCGCCACCGUACGCCGGGGACCCCCUCGCCGUCACCAUCCCCCCGCCGCCAUUGCCGUCGCCGCCUCCGCCGCCUUCCUCCUCGCUCAACCUCUCCCCGUCGCUCCUCAUCAUCGCGGCCCUCCUCGCCUUCGUCUUCUGCGCCUCCAUCUCCAUCCACUUCCUCCUCCGCUGCCUCUCCUCGCGGCAAACAUCCUCUCCGUCGCCGAGCGCUGUCUCCAGGGGACUCGGCGCCUCCUCCCGCUCCGACGCCGAGGCGGCCGCCCCUUCGGCGACACCCGCGGCGGGCCCGGCGGCAGCGGCAGCGGCAGGGGGCGAGGUGGUCGACGACGAGAAGGAGCGGCUGAUCGCGUCACUUCCGCUCUUCACGAUGGCGUCGGCGCUGGCGGCGCUGCCCAAGAGCUCCCCGGACUGCGCCGUCUGCCUGUCGCCGUUCGUGCCCGACGCCGAGCUGCGGCUGCUCCCGGCGUGCCGGCACGCGUUCCACGCCGCCUGCGUCGACGCGUGGCUCCGCAACACGCCGUCGUGCCCGCUCUGCCGCGCCGCCAUCUCGCUGCCGCACCCGCCUCUCCCCACCGCCUACACCGCCGCCGCGCAGCAGGAGCCGUUGGACGCGAGGAGCAGCAGCAACGCGUCCAGGAGCUUCCGCGUCGAGAUCGGCAGCGUGAGCAACCGACGCUCGUCCGCCGCGGGGGACGACCGCCGCACAUACUCCCUCGGCUCCUUCGACUACCGCGUGGACGAGGAGGUGGAGGCCGUGGUGGCGCGCAUCGCGCGCCCCGCGGCGGCGGCCAAGUCGGCGGUGGCCGGGCAGCGCGCCGCGCCGCAGGGCCCGGGCGAGGCGCUGGCGGAGGCGGCGGGGUCGCGCGGGUGGCUCCGGGAGUACGUGGACCGGCUGGCCUCCUCGGCGUCGUCCCUCUCCGGGCGGUGGAGCGCGCGGUGGAGCCAGAGCCACCACAGCCACCGGCAGGAGGACUCGUGGCGGUGGGACCCCGAGGCGGCGGCCAUGGCGGCGCCGCGGGCGGCGGACGAGGACGAGGCGGGCCUCAUGGGCCUGUACCGCUGGAUCGUAGGCGUAUAA